GACGAACGCUGGCGGCGUGCUUAACACAUGCAAGUCGAACGGAAAGGCCCUGCUUGCAGGGUACUCGAGUGGCGAACGGGUGAGUAACACGUGGGUGAUCUGCCCUGCACUUCGGGAUAAGCCUGGGAAACUGGGUCUAAUACCGGAUAGGAGCCACUUUUAGUGUGAUGGUUGGAAAGUUUUUUCGGUGUAGGAUGAGCUCGCGGCCUAUCAGCUUGUUGGUGGGGUAAUGGCCUACCAAGGCGGCGACGGGUAGCCGGCCUGAGAGGGUGGACGGCCACAUUGGGACUGAGAUACGGCCCAGACUCCUACGGGAGGCAGCAGUGGGGAAUAUUGCACAAUGGGCGCAAGCCUGAUGCAGCGACGCCGCGUGGGGGAUGACGGCCUUCGGGUUGUAAACUCCUUUCGCUAGGGACGAAGCUUUUGUGACGGUACCUAGAGAAGAAGCACCGGCUAACUACGUG
RNAcentral lists this ribosomal RNA (464 nucleotides) under uncultured bacterium. Its description in RNAcentral is "partial 16S ribosomal RNA". It matches the Rfam family "Bacterial small subunit ribosomal RNA", at positions 28 to 507 of the family's 1533-position model. The record is from RNAcentral.